CAUUCAGGAAAAGAAUGCACUUGGUGAAUAUCACGAGUUAUUGAGUGAAAGCUCUAACAACCUUGACCAUCUCGCCUAUGAUGUGUGGUUCGAGUCAGUUCUACCUUGCCUUGAUGUCAGGUCAAUUUUCCGCCUUUGCGGAGUUUCCCGGAAGCUACGAAAACUGUUGCUGACGGAGCAGACAUUCAAGGCUAUCUGUGUGCGUCGCUACGGAAUCAGCCCAUUGUUGGAUUCGUCAUACAUUGACACCAGCAAAACUUUGAGCAGAUGCCCAGAGUCCUGAUUUCUUUUUGACAUCGUCAUUGAGCGCCUGUACGCGGCAUUCCACAUUGCAGCUGUACGUCAUGAAUCAGCUAGAGUUAUCUUUGGAGGACUACUUCAUGGUUUGCCUGAGGUACCGCAAGCUCAGAGAUAUGCAGGGGAUCACAACCGAACUCGGAUUGACACAAUUCUACUCAGGUUUGGGCAAGCAUCUCAGAAACGUGUUGAGUCUCAACCACAGCGACAACUGUGACAACCAAAAGGAUCUGUUGGAACAUUUUACAACGUAUGCUGAGGUGAUUGACUGUUAAAAUUAUAAUCUAGUUCUUAGUACAUACCAUGUAUUCAAACCACCAGAGUGCCAGAACUGCUGCUGUUGCAUAUCCCCGAGACUAAAGACUUGGCAACAUCCCGCCUGCGCCUAACUCGUACGCUAUGGUUCCCCAUCUUUAUCCUCUUAUGUUCAGGCUGCCCGUUUUGGAGUUUUGGAACCAUCCGUUGCCUGAUGGUCAUGACUAUGUGAAACUCGGAAUGCCAUUGAACCCAACUUCCCCUUUCUCUCUCCUGUGUGUAGUCCUUAAUACCAUUGAUCCCUGGUGUAUGUUGCUAAAAUAAUAAUAAUAAUAUGGACCCGCCUGUGUGGAUUCACAGGAAGUGUGGGCUACAAAGUCUGAAGAGAAUGUUGGACAGUCUCUGCUGGGAUGACGACUACACCAUAGCUCAGUGGUUAGAGCAUCGCUAGCUACAAGCGAGGGUCCCUGGUUCGAGUCCUGGUAGUGACAGUCAAUUUUUUCUUCAGACUUUUCCCGUCUUUGUUUUUCCUCGUGGUAGUUGAAGUUGCCCGCCCACCCUCUCUGGUGUUUAUGUGGGUCUUCCGCUGUUCUUCUUGACAUUCUAUGCCAACGUGUGUGGCUUAUGAUGAUGCCAUACACCGGUUAUUACAUACAAUUUCUUGCUGUCUCUAUUCUUGGGUCCGACUGGCAGCGGGGCAGGAAUUAAUGAAAUAGAAAGGUUUUUUGGCCGAAAGGCGUGUUUCUCCUCUAGCACGGAUGAGGGGUCGCGGCUAGGAAUGUAGGGAGUCAUUGUUUUCAGGCGCUCCCCUGCUGCCCAGUCACCCAUGCUCACCACUGGCCAUGCUGUUUCACUUGAUUUUGCGGCCUUUUCUCACGCUUGCUGGCGGUUCUUUGAUGGAUUUAGAUUUUUUCGGCGUUUUAUCUAUUAUGUGGCUGGGAGUGUGUUUUUUGCUUCUACUCAUUUCUGGAAAACCACUACGGUGGUGAGUGUGAUUGCUCUGGUAGACCACUACCCCAUGUACUGAACAGUUGCUUUGUGAG
This is a long non-coding RNA of Sycon ciliatum, 1595 nucleotides long. RefSeq lists it as uncharacterized. The transcript is spliced from 3 exons. NCBI's taxonomy places the organism in Eukaryota, Metazoa, Porifera, Calcarea, Leucosolenida, Sycettidae. The record is from RefSeq and is a predicted model, not a curated record.